AUACGGAGGGUGCGAGCGUUAAUCGGAAUUACUGGGCGUAAAGCGUGCGUAGGCGGUUUGGCAAGUCAGGUGUGAAAGCCCACGGCUUAACCGUGGAAGUGCAUUUGAAACUGUCAGACUUGAGUACCAGAGGGGGUAGUGGAAUUCCCGGUGUAGAGGUGAAAUUCGUAGAUAUCGGGAGGAAUACCGGUGGCGAAGGCGGCUACCUGGCUGGAUACUGACGCUGAGGCGCGAAAGCGUGGGGAGCAAACAGGAUUAGAAACCCCGGUAGUCC
This 274-nucleotide ribosomal RNA is filed under the name uncultured bacterium. RNAcentral describes it as "partial 16S ribosomal RNA". It matches the Rfam family "Bacterial small subunit ribosomal RNA", at positions 523 to 796 of the family's 1533-position model. The record is from RNAcentral.